UAAGGCGUAGGAACCUGCCGCGGAGUGGGGGAGUAACGCUGGGAAACCGGCGCUAAUACCGCAUGUGGCCUUUCCGGGAGACUGGAAAGAAGAAAGCACAUUGUGCGCUCUGCGAGGGGCCUGCGUCCGAUUAGCUUGUUGGUGGGGUAACGGCCUACCAAGGCAUCGAUCGGUAGCUGGUCUGAGAGGAUGGUCAGCCACACUGGGACUGAGACACGGCCCAG
This 224-nucleotide ribosomal RNA is filed under the name uncultured bacterium. RNAcentral's name for it is "partial 16S ribosomal RNA". It matches the Rfam family "Bacterial small subunit ribosomal RNA", at positions 111 to 334 of the family's 1533-position model. The record is from RNAcentral.